AUCUAUUCACUGUGUUCUUAGAAAUGUAAUGGAUAAUGGAAUUAAAACUUUAUAAUUUCAGAAAUAUGGACCUAUGUAAAUUUGAUAAAAAAAUGAAUUGUUGAGGAGAGCUGUAAUGGAGUUUAUGUCGAAAAAUCCAGAACUUAGAAACCUCCUGACUGCAUCUGUUAAAAGGAGUGUUCUCUUAGAAAGUUUGGCGACAGAAAACUUUCAGUCUGGACAGCUGAAAUUAAUCACAGUAUUGGGAUCUAGGUUUGGAACUGGCGUAUCAUCACUUCUACCGUAUACUUCUGCCAAAGCAAGUCACAUAGCUGAAACCAGACUGAGGGCUGGAGAAAUACACGUGGAACCUUUAGAAGGAAAGACAGCAGUGUCCCAGGGCAGAGACUGGUGAAGCCGGAAGACUUGUUGAAAGAUUGAGAGAAGACUUACUUGAUGGACCAGAGCAACGUUGGCUGUGGAGAUGGAGUUUAUCUGGAAACUUGUCAACCAAGCUGUUAAGUUGAGGGAAGCAUACAAGCAAGGCCACUGCCAAGCUCUGAAGAAACAUAAAAAUUUCAGUGUGAAUUUGUGAAAAUAUAUGAAUCUGCAGAAACCAGGCAAGCCCUGAGCUGGGAAAAAGGAAACCUGAAUCCUAAGAUCAUCUCUGCUCUUCCAAUUACUA
Molecule: long non-coding RNA, 664 nt
Organism: Suricata suricatta (meerkat)
Lineage: Eukaryota; Metazoa; Chordata; Mammalia; Carnivora; Herpestidae
Exons: 4
Source: RefSeq, a predicted model, not a curated record